This is a non-coding RNA of Lolium perenne, 552 nucleotides long. The record is from RefSeq and is a predicted model, not a curated record. Lineage: Eukaryota; Viridiplantae; Streptophyta; Magnoliopsida; Poales; Poaceae.
GGGAUGCGGCAUGGAACUCCUCGCUGGCGGCUCGGCUCUCCUUCAGGAACUCCUCCGCGGACUGCAGUGCCGCCACGGCCUCCCGGUGAGACUUCUCGCUGUUGCCCUCGUCCAGGAUCAGCCCAUGACAUCAGAGAUAUGAAAAAAGAAGGUCUGCAUAUAUACUUUUGCUUCCAUGUGCUUCCACUUGACGAAGAGUCUGUGCUUCUCGCCCCAGCCGUCGAGCAGGGGUAGGUCCGCAAUGCUUUCAUGUGCCUGCAGAUGAAAUCAACAGGGUGGCCUUUGGGCUGUCGAUCGCCAGCCCAAGUUGAACAUCGAUCGCCUGGCAAACACACACAUAGCAUGAUUGAUGAACCAACCGAGAAGCCGACAUAUCAACUGCAUGCCAACUUACUUGCACCAUGAUGAAUCAUGUAGCUUUCAGGACACCUUCAGACAAGUCCACAGGAAGACCUUUCCUACACGAAACGGCAGUCAGGUAGUGAACAAUAACUGAGAGAAAAAACCGGAACCAUGGAACAGCGUUGCUCCUCAUGACUACCUCUUUUCAGG